Molecule: ribosomal RNA, 744 nt
Filed under: Lophodermium molitoris
Lineage: Eukaryota; Fungi; Ascomycota; Leotiomycetes; Rhytismatales; Rhytismataceae
Description: LSU rRNA
Rfam family: Bacterial large subunit ribosomal RNA (bases 1-414)
Source: RNAcentral
AAUUUUCGGACAUAGUGCGCUAAGGUUGUAUGUCUAAAGGGAAACAGCCCAGAACAAGAGUUAAGGUUCCAAAAUUAAUGUUAAGUGAAAUUAAGGAAGUUUCUAUUAAAUACGACUAGUAAAUAGGCUUAGAGGCGGCCAAUUUUUGAAGACCUCGUAACAGAACACUGGUUCAGUAAAUAGCUUCUAAUAUUGUUAUGCUUUGUAAGCUACAAGAGUAUUAGAAUCUUAUUUAUAACGAUAGACGGCGCCGAGGAUAUAACGGAUCUAAACAAUAUACCGACACCUUGUCCGCAUUACAAGAGCAAAUUUUGCUCUUGUUCUUUGCGGGGUAGCAGAACGUUGGGCAGAUAUUAGACUUUAUCUUUUCAAGAUAAAGGAGCCUAUAAAUAUACCCCAAGUGAUAAUGCUGACAUGAGUAACGAAAAAGGGUAACCAAGAAGAGGAUAACUCAGAAGAGGAUAACUCAGAAGAGGAUAACUCAGAAGAGGAUAACUCAGAAGAGGAUAACUCAGAACGGUAAGUCCUCGCCUUAAGCUUAUGGUUUUAUUAAAGUAACGGCCUCUAAGUUUAAAUUUUAGCCUAUAAGUUCCAAUAAUCCUAAUGGAUGUAACGAUGAGAAAAAACUUAUGCCGGGGAAGAUAUGGCGGUGAAAACCUUAUUAAAGUGAAUAAGGUUCUGGAAAACAUCGUUAGGUAGGUUGACCCUGGAUAGAUAACCGUACCUAGAAACUACCACAAGUAA